GCGAAAUGCGAUAAGUAGUGUGAAUUGCAGAAUUCAGUGAAUCAUCGAAUCUUUGAACGCACAUUGCGCCCCUUGGUAUUCCAUGGGGCAUGCCUGUUCGAGCGUCAUUUGUACCUUCAAGCUCUGCUUGGUGUUGGGUGUUUGUCUCGCCUCUGCGUGUAGACUCGCCUCAAAACAAUUGGCAGCCGGCGUAUUGAUUUCGGAGCGCAGUACAUCUCGCGCUUUGCACUCAUAACGACGACGUCCAAAAGUACAUUUUUACACUCUUGACCUCGGAUCAGGUAGGGAUACCCGCUGAACUUAA
RNAcentral lists this unclassified non-coding RNA (304 nucleotides) under plant metagenome. RNAcentral's name for it is "partial contains 5.8S ribosomal RNA, internal transcribed spacer 2, and large subunit ribosomal RNA". The stretch from base 1 to 107 matches the Rfam family "5.8S ribosomal RNA", at positions 48 to 154 of the family's 154-position model. The record is from RNAcentral.